Molecule: ribosomal RNA, 362 nt
Filed under: uncultured bacterium
Lineage: Bacteria
Description: bacterial SSU rRNA
Rfam family: Bacterial small subunit ribosomal RNA
Source: RNAcentral
GAUGAACGCUAGCUACAGGCUUAACACAUGCAAGUCGCGGGGCAGCAUGAAUUUAGCUUGCUAAAUUUGAUGGCGACCGGCGCACGGGUGAGUAACGCGUAUCCAACCUUCCCCUGUCCACGGGAUAGCCCGUCGAAAGGCGGAUUAAUACCGUAUGAGGUCACACGAUGGCAUCAGACUGUGACGAAAGGUUUGGCGGACAGGGAUGGGGAUGCGUCCGAUUAGGUAGUCGGCGGGGUAACGGCCCACCGAGCCGACGAUCGGUAGGGGUUCUGAGAGGAAGGUCCCCCACAUUGGAACUGAGACACGGUCCAAACUCCUACGGGAGGCAGCAGUGAGGAAUAUGGUUCAAUGGGCGAGAG